GCCAGGUGUGGUGGCACACUCCUGUAAUUCUAGCUACUCAGGAGGCUGAGGCAGGAGGAUUGCAAGUUGGAGGCCAGCCUCAAUAAUUUGGCAAGAUCCUAUCUCAA
Molecule: small RNA, 107 nt
Filed under: Marmota monax (woodchuck)
Lineage: Eukaryota; Metazoa; Chordata; Mammalia; Rodentia; Sciuridae
Source: RNAcentral